GCAGGCCAGUCUGCGGAGCGUGAGACUCUUAAUCUCCUGGUUGUGGGUUCGAGCCCCACGUGGAGCA
Podarcis lilfordi (Lilford's wall lizard) is the source of this 67-nucleotide non-coding RNA. Lineage: Eukaryota; Metazoa; Chordata; Lepidosauria; Squamata; Lacertidae. The record is from the annotation of a GenBank genome assembly.